Molecule: long non-coding RNA, 1300 nt
Filed under: Homo sapiens (human)
Lineage: Eukaryota; Metazoa; Chordata; Mammalia; Primates; Hominidae
Description: HSALNT0401110
Source: RNAcentral
UUUUUAUUGGCCAUGUGACUUGUUUGGCCAAUGAUAUAUGAACAGAAGUGCCAUCAACACAGGAUGAAAAUAUCCUGGCUGACAGAACAGAAGAAGAGAGACCAGACCAUACCAGCCAUCUCACAGACUUGCAGUGAGAAGCAAAGCUAUUCCAAUUAAAAAUUAGGCUUCAACAAGUCAAGCUCCAGCCAAUCCAGAAACAUAUAGUGGCAACGCACAGGAGGUCUGAAAGUAGAUUGUCUGGGUUCAAAGAUGAUCUCUGCCAAUUGCCAGAUGUGUGAUCUUGGAUUUUUUAGCCUGCCACUCUUGAGCAGAGUACUGCCAUCCAAUUUGACUGCCCAACCUCUCCACCACCUGUGAAACACAAAUAACAGCAUUUCCUUUUCCAGGUGAGACUCAUCUUAGACCCAGUCAACCUGAGCUGAGAAAGACAAAGAAUAGUAAGUUAAGCCAGCACUGAAACACACCUCAUCAACUUCCUACUUUGCUAUGAAAGCCCCAAUUACAAAUAUCUCAUACCCUUUAUGCCAAAUGCAACUCUAGCAUCUGAAUUUUGGCUCAGAAAAUAUACACUCCUUGACUUUUCCCCUUGACCUAAGGGGCAAAACGCUGGCCCUAGAGUCAUACAUACCCACUCAUCUGGUUAUCAGCCCAUGGCUUUAGCCAAGUUAUGCAAUGUCUCUAAACUUCAGCUCCCUCAUCAUUAAAAUGGGCAUGACAACAUCUACCUUACAGAAGGUUUGUGAAGAUUAAUAUUGUCUAUGCAAACUCCCAACGCAAUGCAGGUAGUAGCUCAAAGAAUGCUCAUUUUCUUCCUGGCUGAUCACACAUACACAAAUAGAGGUGGAAAGAAGAAACCUCGUUCUGAUGUUUUCUGGAUGAUAAAAAGAGGAAAGAGCUACAGGUCUUUCAUGACCUUCGAGAUCAUCUAAGGAAAGAAGAGGGCCAUGCACAAACUCACUGGCCAAAACUGUCUCCUUGGAAGCCACUCUUUCAUUCAGAGACACCAUGUUGACAAUGGCAAGAGGGAGGAGACUGAUUCCUUUAUGUUGUACACCUGAUUGUCUUUUAAGACAAGGAUGAAAUGAUAGUUUUGUCCAUUUAUCUUCACAGGACAACUUACAACUGUGAUUCAGUUUGUAGAAGAAGAGAAACACACUAUUUCUACUAUUUUUAUUUUUUAAGGGAAUAGCGGAAGAAAUUUACAUGGCUAAAGAGGACCAACGAUGAAAUUACUUUUAAAAGAACAGAGAAUGCUGGGAGCAGUGGCUCACACCUGUAAUCCCAGCACUUUGGGAGG